CCUACGGGAGGCUGCAGUGGGGAAUAUUGCACAAUGGGGGAAACCCUGAUGCAGCGACGCCGCGUGAGUGAGGAAGUAUUUCGGUACGUAAAGCUCUAUCGGCAGGGAAGAAAAUGUCGUUACCUGACUAAGAAGCCCCGGCUAACUACGUGCCAGCAGCCGCGGUAAUACGUAGGGGGCAAGCGUUAUCCGGUUUGACGGGGUGUAAAGGGGGCGUAGACGGCUAAGCAAGUCAGAGGUGAAAACCCAGGGCUCAACCUUGGGAGUGCUUUUGAAACUGAGUAGCUAGAGUGCAGGAGAGGUAAGCGGAAUUCCUAGUGUAGCGGUGAAAUGCGUAGAUAUUAGGAGGAACACCAGUGGCGAAGGCGGCUUACUGGACUGUAACUGACGUUGAGGCUCGAAAGCGUGGGGAGCAAACAGGAUUAGAUACCCGAGUAGUC
Molecule: ribosomal RNA, 440 nt
Filed under: uncultured bacterium
Lineage: Bacteria
Description: partial 16S ribosomal RNA
Rfam family: Bacterial small subunit ribosomal RNA
Source: RNAcentral